AUUGAACGCUGGCGGCAGGCCUAACACAUGCAAGUCGAACGGUAACAGGAAGCAGCUUGCUGCUUCGCUGACGAGUGGCGGACGGGUGAGUAGUGUCUGGGAAACUGCCUGAUGGAGGGGGAUAACUACUGGAAACGGUAGCUAAUACCGCAUAACGUCGCAAGACCAAAGAGGGGGACCUUAGGGCCUCUUGCCAUCGGAUGUGCCCAGAUGGGAUUAGCUAGUAGGUGGGGUAACGGCUCACCUAGGCGACGAUCCCUAGCUGGUCUGAGAGGAUGACCAGCCACACUGGAACUGAGACACGGUCCAGACUCCUACGGGAGGCAGCAGUGGGGAAUAUUGCACAAUGGGCGCAAGCCUGAUGCAGCCAUGCCGCGUGUAUGAAGAAGGCCUUCGGGUUGUAAAGUACUUUCAGCGGGGAGGAAGGGAGUAAAGUUAAUACCUUUGCUCAUUGACGUUACCCGCAGAAGAAGCGCCGGCUAACUCCGUG
Molecule: ribosomal RNA, 490 nt
Filed under: uncultured bacterium
Lineage: Bacteria
Description: partial 16S ribosomal RNA
Rfam family: Bacterial small subunit ribosomal RNA
Source: RNAcentral